This 280-nucleotide long non-coding RNA is filed under the name Homo sapiens (human). RNAcentral's name for it is "long non-coding RNA NONHSAT203664". The record is from RNAcentral. Lineage: Eukaryota; Metazoa; Chordata; Mammalia; Primates; Hominidae.
CCUGGUUUUGAUGGGGUCAUCAUACGUAAUGCCCUUAGCCAUCUCCUUCACUGACAUCAAUGCUGACCUCGGCCCUCGGCAACACUCUCCAGGAUCUUCUCUUCUUCCUUCAGCUGCUUCUCCUUGGCAGACUCUGGUGCUGGUGCUGAUCCAGGAGGCUGACGUUGGACUGAGGGCCUAGCGGGAUGUCGUCCUCACCUUGCGUCUUCGCUGCAGCAGCUUCUGGAGCUGAGGUUCCCCUCACCAGUAGCUGCCGGCGCUGCCGUAACGGCACAUAGGG